GUAGCCCCCAGGGGUGUUGGUCCCCACAGGCUAGGGCAGACUGCCCCACAGCAGGGUCCCUCCAGGUGACUCCACUAGUAGGCCAGGCAACUGUGCACUCUCUGCUGCUCUCACCUGUGGCCUCUCCAGCAGGGGGAGCAAGGGGAAUGUUAGUUCUACUUUCCUCUGGUCAGAAAUGUUUGCUUGGAAUAUCACUAGGGCUGUGCCCAAGAAAAGAGUGGGAAAGGCCUGUUGUUUAUUUGUGCAAAUUUCUACUUUAAAUGUUGACUCUCAGGAUGUUCCCAGUUUCAGCUCUAUGAUGUGAAUAGCAGUUCUCCAGUGCCCGUGUGGUAAUGUGCAGUAAUGUGACACUUGAGAUCACUCUAUAGGAGAGCCCCAGGUGGGAGACCUGGAGUAUGGCCAUGGCAAUCCACACUGCUGGAUCUCAGGAAACCUCCUAAUCUGCUUUGGGAAGAAGACCCAUGUGACCUGUUAGGGUUGUGGCCUAUGUGAGUCCUUGAUGGAGUGGAGGUAUUGAGUCCAGAGAAGCCUCAGGAAAAAGGAAGACCAUACCAGUAGGAGGAAGCAAAAGUACAGAUUGAGAGCCUGGGCAGGUGCAGAG
This 601-nucleotide long non-coding RNA is filed under the name Marmota monax (woodchuck). Lineage: Eukaryota; Metazoa; Chordata; Mammalia; Rodentia; Sciuridae. The record is from RNAcentral.